This 4205-nucleotide unclassified non-coding RNA is filed under the name Haliotis rubra (blacklip abalone). RNAcentral describes it as "protein patched homolog 1-like, transcript variant X1". Lineage: Eukaryota; Metazoa; Mollusca; Gastropoda; Lepetellida; Haliotidae. The record is from RNAcentral.
ACACAGAGCGGUGUUGGAAAGAAAUGUUUAUCUGUCGAUUCAAUGAUGACUGAGGUCGGAAGGUAGUGUUUCCUGACACAGUCGACAAUGGCUGUCAUCAGGAUAGUCUCAAGAAGUGCAAUAACUCUUUCAUCUUUUAUUCAUUCACUCACUAUAUAGAUAAUGACACCUUGACCUUACUCUGGGAAAACAGGAGGUCGUUUAAUCAUUAGCUGUCAGUUGAUUGAUUCCAAAGAUCAAACAAAGUCAUUGGGUGUAUUUUCAUUCUGCGAAGACAUGGCGGAUACUGUUCAAUCACCAGCUCAUUUCACCAUUGAUGAUACUCCAUCAAGGACACCGAAUCCUCUGAAGAAACCAUCAUGCUUAAAACGGGCUAGUAAUGGUAUCAUUUGGGCACUGGAAUCUGCAUUUUACAGGGUUGGUCUGUUUGUUGGUGAACAUCCUUGGAUAACGAUUGUCUUCUGCCUUACAACAUGCGGGUUGUGUGGUCUCGGGCUGAAGACGUUCAAACAAACAGAGGAACAAGUUGCAUUGUGGGUACCUCAGAGCUCGCGUAUUGUCAAUGAGAAGAAAUGGGUGGACAAACACUUCCCGUCUGAAACUCGCUAUGUGACAAUGAUAGUCACAGGAAAAGAUGUACUCACACAGCCAUUCCUUAAUGCUUUGCUGGAUUUCUAUAGCAAGUGUAACAACAUCAGUGUUGAAGGGAAGCGGUACCAAGAUGUCUGCUACAGUGUUCGGACAGCAACUGGGUACCACUGCCGUGUGACAAGCUUAUUGGAGCUUUGGUCUUACAAUGAAACUGUCAUCCGUUCUCUGACCCGCGGCAAGAUCCUACAGACCGUCAAUAGCAUCAACAAGAGCCCUGUGUAUGGCACAGAUUUCGAUGUGUCCAACAUGCUUGGAGGGACCGUACAUAGAGGACAGGGAGGGGACAUUGAGGACGCCACCGCUACUCAGAUCACCUGGGUCCUCAGGAAGGAUGAUGAGAUUCUAGAGGCAGUUAAGGCAUGGGAGCUGGAGGUGAUCAAGCUGGCUCGCCAGGGCAUCGUGCAGACCCUGGAGGUGUAUAUCUACGCUUCUCGCAGUUUUGAUGAUGAAGGUUACGGCGCCAUCAACAAGGACACACAGCUUCUGUCUGCUGGAUUCAGCAUUGUCUUCGUGUUCGUCAUGCUGUCUCUCGGGAGAUUCAACAUGCUGGAGCAAAGGAUAUACCUCUCUCUCAUUGGCUUGUUCAGUGUUGGUUUAGCAAUAAUAUUUGCCUAUGGACUAGCUACAGUCUUUGAUGUUAUAUAUGGCCCUAUACAGUCUAUCAUGCCCUUCCUUCUGCUUGGUAUAGGUGUGGAUGACAUGUUCGUCAUCGUGGAGUCUUGGAAGAAUCUCACGCCGGAGGAGGAGUUACUUCCCUUGCCACAGAGAGUCGCGGUGAUGAUGAAACACGCUGGCGUGUCAGUCACCGUCACAUCAAUCACAGACAUUGUGGCGUUUGGCAUCGGUGCAUCAACUGUCAUCCCAGCUCUCAGUGCCUUCUGUAUCUAUGCAGCGUUGGGCAUCUUGGCUCUGUACGUCCUGCAGUCAACGUUUUUUGUUGCGUGUUUAUCACUGGACCAGAAGCGCCGAGAAUCACAUCGGAAUGCUUGCGUCUGCUGCUACAAACACAAGAACUACACACCCAACAACUGCAGCCAGAGAUCCUUCAUGCCCAAAUUCAUGGAGAGGUACUACGGCAGAGCGCUGAUGAAACUACCUGUGAAAAUCCUAGUGAUUGUGACGACUCUCGGGCUGCUUGGUGUGUUCAUGUGGAGGUUCAUCCUCCUGAGACAAGACUUUGACCUCGUCAACUACAUUCCCAGUGAUUCCUACGCUUAUGCUUUUGUCAAGGCCAAAGAAAGAUAUUUCCCUGAUGAAGGAAUAGACACAGCUGUAUACUUUGGAGGAUUCGACUACUACGAACGCUCUCAGUCUCUUGAUGCUGCAUACAAGUUUGUGAGCGAGAGCCAGUACACCCAGAAUGGAACCGUCACCAGCUGGUUCCAGGUCUUCCAAGACUGGAGGAGGAGGAAUGAUACUGACGGUACUACAACUAGUAUGGUCCCGACGUCUGAGGCGGAGUUCUACAACUUGAUGUACACAUUCCUCACAGGCCCUGGAAUCCAGCUGGCCAGAUAUGUCAAGAUGAACUCCACACUGCCACCAAUAAGUAUAGAGGCAUCCUACAUGACACUGCGGCACACCUUACAGCCAGACUCAGCAGAUGAAAUAGCAGCGAUGGAAGAUUUACGACGCAUAAUUGACAACAUCGACUUCCCACAAUACUCCGGUGAAGAUCUGCCCAAAUACCAGGCGUUUGCCUACUCCCAGAGUUACCUGACAUACGAGACCAACAAGGUGCUGUUGUCGGAGCUGUACCGGAACUUGGGUCUAGCUGGUGGCUGUGUGCUGUUGGUGACGCUGCUGUUGAUCGCAAACAUCUGGACAUCAGUGCUUGUCUUCACCUGUGUUGUUUUCACUCUGAUUGAUGUUGCUGGAGCACUGGAGUUGUGGGGCGUGACUAUCGACACCGCCAGCAGCGUGCUCCUCAUCCUCUCCGUGGGCAUCGCCGUCGACUACUCCGCACAUAUAGGUCACACCUUCAUGACAGUGCAUGGAGACCGCAACUAUCGGUCAAUCCUGACACUGAAGACUAUCGGCCCCGCGGUGUUCAAUGGUGGCUUCAGUACCUUCCUGGCCUUCGUCCUCCUGGCAAACAGCUCUAGUUAUGGAUUUGCCCUCUUCUUCCGGGUGUUCAUGACGGUUGUGAUAUUUGGGCUGUUCCAUGGAUUGGCCUACCUCCCUGUUAUCCUCAGCUGGGUCGGCCCACAGCCUUACGAGUCCAGCUAUAAAACAGAAGAAUCGACCAAUCACAUCACAGUAGUGAAGGAAGAGAACUCCACGUCUAAUGGUCCCAACGGUCAUGUCCAGCCGCUGCUAGAGCCGGUGUAAGUUGUUUGUUUCAUGUCACCACCAACCCCCCUCCUGCCUUAGCUUUGCAGAAAUCGGAAAGUGAAAGUGAUAGCUGAUUGACCUUCAAAUUCGCUCAGAACACUUAUAUCCAUUUGCAUUUGACCUUGAAAUCACGAUACAAAGGUAUGAGUCGGGUGUAUCAUGUUUACAAAUACUCAGACAUCAGAAGUGUGAAAGAUAUAUUAACAAGGCUCAAAGAGAAACCGUUUUGGCAUAAACACUGAAAGUUGGAAUCAUAUUUUCAAAUACUCCUGAAAAAGACAUCAGAAGUCUAAAGUAUUUAUUACUAGUCUGAAGGAGAACCCUUUUGGCAUAAACAUUGAAGUUUUGAACUUUUUUCUGCUCUUAGUUUUGGUAAAUACUUAGUGAAAUCUUAAGUAGUUAUUACUAGUCUUUUCGUACCUAGAUUAAAGUUUUUUUGAAGGGAGGUCGCCUAGUGCCGGGGGUAUAUAUCUCACAGUUUUAGACUGGUGAUAUCAGCUGGCAUCUGAUAGCCACUGAUGUUAUUUGACAGUGAAUCUUAGUAGUUGUGAUUUUUCUCUCGGAUCAGAAGACAAUAUUCUAGAACACUUACUCCAGCCCCUCCAUGCCCAAUACUGGUCGCAGGAACCAGCUAGCUAGCAUGAGGAUUUGGUGGUAGCUGUGUGUGAUAUAGAUGUGUCUCGUCUCAUCAGACGUCCUGGAUUGUUCUUCCUGCUAUCUACCACUGCUUUGUCUGGUUCUCAUAGUUACCGGUUCCUGUCACUCUCUUCUUGCUUACCUAACCUUCAAGGCUGCAGAUCAAAGAUUGGAUCUCUGGUAAAGAUCUUAAUUCCUCAAGUUUGGAGUUGCUGGUAUUCCAUCAGACAUUAAUCAACUUUUCAGCCGAAUUUCAGUUCAAGUUGAUAAAAACAGCUGUAUUUGUCAUAGUUCUGCUGUGAAACUGAAACGCAUCACUGUGAUAAUAUUAUCGAAAUAAUUGAGUAAAGGAGCCAAUUCUCAACCUUAUCACCACCUUCAUGAAUCAUUGCACAGAGGAUCCACUUUGAGGAUAUUAACAUUUUCACAAUGUUUUAAACUUGGAAUGGAUUGGGUAUGUCUCAAAACUUAAGGAAUUAUUUUUGUAUCCGGCUUUGAAUUUUUUGAGCUGCUCUCUAUGUAAUGCUUUGUCUCUCCUGCUGCUUCCUCAAGGAUGUGAAUUAACAAGAUGGGUGUUGAGAGAC